Molecule: ribosomal RNA, 504 nt
Filed under: uncultured bacterium
Lineage: Bacteria
Description: partial 16S ribosomal RNA
Rfam family: Bacterial small subunit ribosomal RNA
Source: RNAcentral
AUUGAACGCUGGCGGCACGCCUAACACAUGCAAGUCGAGCGGCAGCAUGCUUAGUAGCAAUACUAAGUGAUGGCGAGCGGCGGACGGGUGAGGAACACGUAGGAACCUGCCCAAGAGAGGGGGAUAACUAAGGGAAACUUUAGCUAAUACCGCAUAAUCUCUGAGGAGAAAAGUUGCCCGUAAGGGUAGCGCUUUUGGAGGGGCCUGCGUCCGAUUAGCUAGUUGGUGAGGUAAUAGCUCACCAAGGCGAUGAUCGGUAACUGGUCUGAGAGGACGACCAGUCACCCGGGGACUGAGACACGGCCCAGACUCCUACGGGAGGCAGCAGUGGGGAAUCUUGGACAAUGGAGGCAACCCUGAUCCAGCGAUGCCGCGUGGGUGAAGAAGGCCUUCGGGUUGUAAAGCCCUUUAGGCGGGGAAGAAGAAUAUGGGAUGAAUAAUCCUGUAUUUUGACGGUACCCGCAGAAUAAGCACCGGCAAACUCUGUGCCAGCCGCCGCGGUAA